CAUUAUCUAGGCAGAGCAUAUGUUGUGGUUGUUUUGCUCGGUGUUAUCAGAGUGGGAGACCUGCUCUCAAAAAUGGUUAAAAGGAUUGCUGCCCCAAAUGACGCACAGUAGAUUUCUGUGUUGGAGUUUCUGUGAGCAAUCUCCAUGGUUAGCCAGUGCUGCACCUGAACUUGGGAGAGAAAGGAGCCUCUAGCUGAGACUGGCAUGUGCUCCAUUCUCUGUAGUGAAUGGACUGUGAGGUCACUGAGACUGAGCUGAGGUGAAAGGAUGCAGACAGCCUAUGACACUGUAGAGAAAUUCUAAAAGAUCUGGAAAGCCAAGGCAUAGAGCCAUUUCAGCAGGACCUGAGUGCCACACGCUGAAGCCACCCUGUCCCUGAAGCAGGGUGAGAACCAGUCACUCUGGAUUAUUUGGGCUGUGCUGCAGAGGUCACCUGGCCUACCUUUGCAUCUUUGCUGCUGGUGAACUGAUGCGGAACAGAUCCAGGACACCCAGUCUGAACACUGCAGAGGGCGGAGCCCUGGCCCAAGCCCAAUUUACCUCUGCUCUUCUUGAAGCAAAUUCAUACGUGCCUGUUGACGCAUUUAUUCUUUCAACAGUGACUUAUGGAGCAUGUUUUAUGUGCCAAGGGAGUACUCCGGUGGUGUUUUUGAAGGUCAGGGAGCAUGGACAGCAUUGUAGACCACAGGUUCAGAAUUUAACAAAAGCUGGGCAAUGGGUUUAGGGGAAAUUGCCAAGAAGUGACCUACAGGCUGUUCUGAUUUUAAAAUUUGUAUAAAUCUGCAAGUAAGUCGGGUGGAAAAGGGGGAUGGUUUCGAGAGAAUGUUCUGAGUGUGCAGUACAGUCCGGGUUGGGUUCUGAGCUGAAGGGGGAGGAAGAUGGCAGGACUGAGAGGUGAGGAAGACAUGCCAUCCUCUGCUUGGCUCCACUCCCUGUUGCUGACCUUGGAGGAGAGAUGAGCUUCCCCUGAGGUUUCUCUCACCUGGAUUUCAGAGCAGGGGUUUGACCCUUGCUGCUCCCUCACCAAACUGAUUCUGACUUCAAUUAGCCAUUGAAAGCAACCAAUAAAGAGGAAUUAACAGUAGAA
Molecule: long non-coding RNA, 1087 nt
Organism: Marmota flaviventris (yellow-bellied marmot)
Lineage: Eukaryota; Metazoa; Chordata; Mammalia; Rodentia; Sciuridae
Source: RefSeq, a predicted model, not a curated record